This 627-nucleotide ribosomal RNA is filed under the name Rotylenchulus reniformis. RNAcentral describes it as "SSU rRNA". It matches the Rfam family "Eukaryotic small subunit ribosomal RNA", at positions 1004 to 1656 of the family's 1831-position model. The record is from RNAcentral. Lineage: Eukaryota; Metazoa; Nematoda; Chromadorea; Rhabditida; Hoplolaimidae.
GCGAUCAGAUACCGCCCUAGUUCUGACCGUAAACGAUGCCGACUAGCGAUCCGCCAGUCGACUCAUCGCUCUGGUGGGGAGCUUCCCGGAAACGAAAGUCUUCCGGUUCCGGGGGAAGUAUGGUUGCAAAGCUGAAACUUAAAGGAAUUGACGGAAGGGCACCACCAGGAGUGGAGCCUGCGGCUUAAUUUGACUCAACACGGGGAAACUCACCCGGCCCGGACACCGUAAGGAUUGACAGAUUGAUAGCUUUUUCAUGAUUCGGUGGAUGGUGGUGCAUGGCCGUUCUUAGUUCGUGGAGCGAUUUGUCUGGUUUAUUCCGAUAACGAGCGAGACUCUGGCCUACUAAAUAGUUGACGCAUUGCCACUGUGCGCACAACUUCUUAGGGGGAUUUUCGGUGUUUUCAACCGCACGAAAUUGAGCAAUAACAGGUCUGUGAUGCCCUUAGAUGUCCGGGGCUGCACGCGCACUACACUGGCAAAAUCAGCGUGCUUGUCCUCCCCCGAAAGGGGUUGGUAAACCGAUGAAAAUUUGCCGUGAUUGGGAUCGGACAUUGCAAUUAUUGUCCGUGAACGAGGAAUCCCUUGUAAGGGCGAGUCAUCAACUCGUCCUGAAUACGCCCCUGC